This 500-nucleotide ribosomal RNA is filed under the name uncultured bacterium. RNAcentral's name for it is "partial 16S ribosomal RNA". It matches the Rfam family "Bacterial small subunit ribosomal RNA", at positions 30 to 523 of the family's 1533-position model. The record is from RNAcentral.
AUUGAACGCUGGCGGAGUGCUUUACACAUGCAAGUCGAACGGCAGCACGGACUUCGGUCUGGUGGCGAGUGGCGAGCGGGUGAGUAAUGUAUCGGAACGUGCCCAGUCGUGGGGGAUAACGUAGUGAAAAUUACGCUAAUACCGCAUACGAUCUAUGGAUGAAAGCGGGGGAUCGCAAGACCUCGCGCGAUUGGAGCGGCCGAUAUCAGAUUAGGUAGCUGGUGGGGUAAAGGCCCACCAAGCCAACGAUCUGUAGCUGGUCUGAGAGGACGACCAGCCACACUGGAACUGAGACACGGUCCAGACUCCUACGGGAGGCAGCAGUGGGGAAUUUUGGACAAUGGGCGAAAGCCUGAUCCAGCCAUUCCGCGUGCAGGAUGAAGGCCCUCGGGUUGUAAACUGCUUUUGUACAGAACGAAAAGGUUUCUACUAAUACUAGGAGCUCAUGACGGUACUGUAAGAAUAAGCACCGGCUAACUACGUGCCAGCAGCCGCCGUAA